CACACCAACAACAAAAACCACCACCGCUGCGGAACCAACAACCACCACCACCACCAUAUUCAACCAACAAAACCCAUGGAAGUGUUGUUGUCUUCCUUCUCGCCGGCGUCGCAUGCCGUGUUCUCAAAUGUAAUGGUUACUCAUGUCAAAUUCGACCAUGAAACCUCUAGAUCUAGAGGUUUCAUGGUCGAAUUUGACCAUAUUAAACCAAAUUCAAGGUGGAAUUAAAAUCCAACAAAGGAAUUAGAAGAAUCUAAUGCUUUUUUUUUUGUUUAAACUGUAAUUUCUGUAUUAGUUUUAAAUAACUGAUUUUUGUUUAUGUACUAACGUUUUGUAUAGUAAAUUAAUACUAUUAAGUACUCGUAUCAUAUUUUUUUUUCUAA
Long non-coding RNA from Chenopodium quinoa (quinoa), 383 nucleotides. RefSeq lists it as uncharacterized. The transcript is spliced from 2 exons. NCBI's taxonomy places the organism in Eukaryota, Viridiplantae, Streptophyta, Magnoliopsida, Caryophyllales, Amaranthaceae. The record is from RefSeq and is a predicted model, not a curated record.